RNAcentral lists this ribosomal RNA (612 nucleotides) under Penicillium lagena. Its description in RNAcentral is "eukaryotic LSU rRNA". It matches the Rfam family "Eukaryotic large subunit ribosomal RNA", at positions 40 to 667 of the family's 3401-position model. The record is from RNAcentral. Lineage: Eukaryota; Fungi; Ascomycota; Eurotiomycetes; Eurotiales; Aspergillaceae.
AUAUCAAUAAGCGGAGGAAAAGAAACCAACAGGGAUUGCCCUAGUAACGGCGAGUGAAGCGGCAAGAGCUCAAAUUUGAAAGCUGGCUCCUUCGGGGUCCGCAUUGUAAUUUGCAGAGGAUGCUUCGGGAGCGGUCCCCGUCUAAGUGCCCUGGAACGGGCCGUCAUAGAGGGUGAGAAUCCCGUAUGGGACGGGGUGUCCGCGCCCGUGUGAAGCUCCUUCGACGAGUCGAGUUGUUUGGGAAUGCAGCUCUAAAUGGGUGGUAAAUUUCAUCUAAAGCUAAAUAUUGGCCGGAGACCGAUAGCGCACAAGUAGAGUGAUCGAAAGAUGAAAAGCACUUUGAAAAGAGAGUUAAAAAGCACGUGAAAUUGUUGAAAGGGAAGCGCUUGCGACCAGACUCGCCUACGGGGUUCAGCCGGCAUUCGUGCCGGUGUACUUCCCCGUGGGCGGGCCAGCGUCGGUUUGGGCGGCCGGUCAAAGGCUCCCGGAAUGUAACGCCUCUCGGGGCGUCUUAUAGCCGGGGGUGCAAUGCGGCCUGCCUGGACCGAGGAACGCGCUUCGGCACGGACGCUGGCAUAAUGGUCGUAAGCGACCCGUCUUGAAACACGGACC